GACGAACGCUGGCGGCGUGCUUAACACAUGCAAGUCGAACGGAAAGGCCCUGCUUUUGUGGGGUGCUCGAGUGGCGAACGGGUGAGUAACACGUGAGUAACCUGCCCUUGACUUUGGGAUAACUUCAGGAAACUGGGGCUAAUACCGGAUAGGAGCUCCUGCUGCAUGGUGGGGGUUGGAAAGUUUCGGCGGUUGGGGAUGGACUCGCGGCUUAUCAGCUUGUUGGUGGGGUAGUGGCUUACCAAGGCUUUGACGGGUAGCCGGCCUGAGAGGGUGACCGGCGACAUUGGGACUGAGAUACGGCGCAGACUCCUACGGGAGGCAGCAGUGGGGAAUAUUGCACAAUGGGCGGAAGCCUGAUGUAGCAACGCCGCGUGCGGGAUGACGGCCUUCGGGUUGUAAACCGCUUUCGCCUGUGACGAAGCGUGAGUGACGGUAAUGGGUAAAGAAGCACCGGCUAACUACGUG
RNAcentral lists this ribosomal RNA (468 nucleotides) under uncultured bacterium. RNAcentral describes it as "partial 16S ribosomal RNA". It matches the Rfam family "Bacterial small subunit ribosomal RNA", at positions 28 to 507 of the family's 1533-position model. The record is from RNAcentral.